CGUGAGAUGUUGGGUUAAGUCCCGCAACGAGCGCAACCCCUAUUGUUAGUUGCCAUCAUUCAGUUGGGCGACUCUAGCGAGACUGCGGUAAUAAACCGGAGGAAGGUGGGGAUGACGUCAAAUCAUCAUGCCCCUUAUGACCUGGGCUACACACGUGCUACAAUGGUUGGUACAACGAGUUGCGAGUCGGUGACGGCAAGCUAAUCUCUUAAAGCCAAUCUCAGUUCGGAUUGUAGGCUGCAACUCGCCUACA
This 253-nucleotide ribosomal RNA is filed under the name uncultured bacterium. RNAcentral's name for it is "partial 16S ribosomal RNA". It matches the Rfam family "Bacterial small subunit ribosomal RNA", at positions 1066 to 1320 of the family's 1533-position model. The record is from RNAcentral.